AGUGAUGGAGAUUGUCACUGGAUGUGCUUUCUCUCAAAAGCAAUGCUGUAAGAUGAGUUGGCGGCUGAUUAGGCUGUUGGUGAGGUAAAGGCUCACCAAACCUGAGAUCAGUAGGGGAGAUGAGAGUCUACGCCCCGAGAAGGGCACUGAGAUAAGGGCCCUAGUCCUAAGGGAUGCAGCAGGCUAGAAUCCUUUACAAUGCGCGCAAGCGUGAUAAGGGGAACCUAAGUGCUCACUUUAAGUGGGCUUUUGUUAAGUGUAAAUAUCUUAACGAAUAAGUGGUGGGUAAGACUGGUGCCAGCCGCCGCGGUAACACCAGCGCCACGAGUGGUGAUCAUAUUUAUUGGGUCUAAAGCGUCUGUAGCCGAUUUAGUAAGUCUUUUGUGAAACUGUGGGGCUCAACCCUACAACGUGCAAAGGAAACUGUUAGGUUAGGGACCGGGAGAGGUAAUGAGAACUUCUUGGGAAGCGGUAAAAUGUUUUAAUCCUUGAAGGACUACCUAUGGCGAAGGCACAUUACCAGAACGGAUUCGACGGUGAGAGACGAAAGCUAGGGGAGCGAUCAGGAUUAGAUACCCUAGUAGUCCUAGCUGUAAACGCUGCCAACUAUGUGUGGCAUGUUCUUCGUGGACAUGCCGUGCCGGAGCGAA
RNAcentral lists this ribosomal RNA (650 nucleotides) under uncultured archaeon. RNAcentral's name for it is "bacterial SSU rRNA". It matches the Rfam family "Archaeal small subunit ribosomal RNA", at positions 153 to 810 of the family's 1478-position model. The record is from RNAcentral.